GACGAACGUUGGCGGCGUGCUUAAUACAUGCAAGUCAACUGAAGCAGUGGUAGCAAUAUCGCUGUGGAGGUGGCGCACGGGUGAGUAACACGUAGGUAAUCUGCCUUCAGGUCUGGCAUAACUCCGGGAAACCGGGGCUAAUAGCAGAUGAUGCAGCGGCUCGACAUCGAGACAGUUGUUAAAGCUAUGGCGCCUGAAGAUGAGCCUGCGUCUGAUUAGCUAGUUGGCGGGGUAACGGCCCACCAAGGCAACGAUCAGUAGCUGGUCUGAGAGGAUGAUCAGCCACACUGGAACUGAGACACGGUCCAGACUCCUACGGGAGGCAGCAGUAAGGAAUAUUGCUCAAUGGGAGAAAUCCUGAAGCAGCAACGCCGCGUGAGGGACGAAGGGCUUUUGCUUGUAAACCUCUGUAGUGAGAGAAAAAAAUCCCAAUCUUUGAGACAUGAUGGUAUCUCAAAAGUAAGCCCCGGCUAACUACGUG
This 481-nucleotide ribosomal RNA is filed under the name uncultured bacterium. Its description in RNAcentral is "partial 16S ribosomal RNA". It matches the Rfam family "Bacterial small subunit ribosomal RNA", at positions 28 to 507 of the family's 1533-position model. The record is from RNAcentral.